Long non-coding RNA from Mercenaria mercenaria, 1318 nucleotides. RefSeq lists it as uncharacterized. The transcript is spliced from 4 exons. The record is from RefSeq and is a predicted model, not a curated record. NCBI's taxonomy places the organism in Eukaryota, Metazoa, Mollusca, Bivalvia, Venerida, Veneridae.
CUUAUUCUUUGUCCAAUAUUUGCAAAAUUUUGCAUAUUUAAUUCUCAAAGACAGCUUUUGUAACUUACAUAAUUUGAUUUUGAUUUUAUAUUCCUGAAAUUUAAAUAUAUUGAUUUGAAUAUGCCCAAUUUGACGUAUUUUACCGGCUUUUAUGGUGCUUCUAAAAAAACCUGCAGAACACAGUAACUUAUCUUUUUCACGGAUCAGAUUGUCUUAAAACUUGCUAGAGGUGUUAAAUAUUGUGCAUGGGACUGUUGUUUGUGAAUAGCUACUCAAAAUAAUAAGAUUUACACGCUCUGAAAAUGACCUUUUUGUCUAAAAAUCUACGAAAAACAUGGCCGCGUUGUGCAAAUAAUGAGUUGCUUAUUUCAAAACUGUCCUAUUAUUUUUCAGUAAAACUUCUUGUUAAUUUAAGACUCUAAUAACUUGCUUGACAUACCCAUAGGCAAAUAUCUGUUAUCGGUGUAAUUACACCUUUGGAGAAAAGCGUGAUUCGCACGUUUUAAUUUCAUCAUUCGCCGCCUGGAGAGACAAGAUGGCGGAGCUUGCGAAAUCGAAAAUUGUUACUUGAAAGUCAAUGGUUGAUCAUGCUGACCAUCUUUAAUUUAAUGGGGAAAGAUUAACCAGUAUCUGCAGCUGGACAGGCUGUCACCACAGUUCAAUGAUUUAGUUAAGACAAUGAAAUCGAAGAACUUCAUGCUAACACUUGCAUCAGUGGAAGUACUUCUUAUUGGAUAGAGAACUUUUCAAGGUCAGACAUCAGCUUUUGAAGUUGCUUUCUUGGCACAUCAUGCUGUCCAGUGGAGUUCAUACCAUAUGCCAGGCCUUUAUACAUGGUCAAAGAAGAUGAAUUUGUUAUUCAAUUUGUGAAAUUUGAUUUAAGGAGGACUUUCAUAUAUGAUGAUUAUAUUCAGCAGAUUAUCUUCAAGUGUGCACUUUAUAGAAUCACAGUUUCUAGGAGGUUUUCAGUUUAAAGUUAGAUUAAUUGAAAAAUGAUGAAAAGUACAUUGUUAGAACUUCAAAUAUGCAACAUAAAGGUGAAUAUAGGUAAAUUCAUAAAUUCUCACCACAGGGUGUGCGGGUUAGUGGCUUUGAGUUGUGCAAAUUCAGUACAUAGAUCUAUAAUCUUAAUCUGCUGAGAAUUUCUUCCCUUAAAUGAUGGAUAAGUCUUUAAAUUAUAAAUAUUGAAAUAAAUUUGCAUCUGUGCUUCUAUGGCAUUACUAGGAAAGACACGUUAUUAUACAUUCUACAUUGUAACAGUUGGUGUUUAGAUCCUAUAAUUGUAAAACAUAAAAUAAAUGUUGCAAGUUUCAUAAAA